UUGGCCUACGGGGCGCAGCAGUGAGGAAUAUUGGUCAAUGGGCGCAAGCCUGAACCAGCCAAGUCGCGUGAGGGAAGACGGCCCUAUGGGUUGUAAACCUCUUUUGCCGGGGAGCAAGCCUGAGCACGUGUGCCCAGGCGGAGAGUACCCGGAGAAAAAGCAUCGGCUAACUCCGUGCCAGCAGCCGCGGUAAUACGGAGGAUGCGAGCGUUAUCCGGAUUUAUUGGGCGUAAAGGGAACGCAGGCGGUCUUUUAAGUCUGAUGUGAAAGCCUUCGGCUUAACCGGAGUAGUGCAUUGGAAACUG
This 305-nucleotide ribosomal RNA is filed under the name uncultured bacterium. Its description in RNAcentral is "bacterial SSU rRNA". It matches the Rfam family "Bacterial small subunit ribosomal RNA", at positions 334 to 635 of the family's 1533-position model. The record is from RNAcentral.